CUCAGAUCCCACAGCGAUCCUUCCGACACAAGAGUCUCCUUCGGGGCCCUCUCCGGGGCUGUAGGAUCUGUGAGAGGGGUCGGGGAUCCAGGACGGCGUUCUUUUCCGUCCCUGUCAGAUCUUACGGAGCGAGGCAGACCUUGUGUUGAAAGUAGUGCAAAGUCCUUAGGUGUCUCAUCAAUGAAUCUCGGGUGACAAAAGCCUGGAGGAAGCCAGACCAGCUCUUCUCUGUCACAGAGCACAAGGGCAAAGCAGAGGAAAGAAGCCAAACCCAUAAAGGAGGAAGAAAGCUCUGAAAAGGUAAACCAGCAUGAGAAAUGCUCACUCAAAGCUCCGAAGCAGAGGUUAAGUCUCCCUUCUCAGAACUGCAAGUGCUCUUUCACCCUGAAAACCAAGACUACAUUUUAAGGGAAGGUGUUCCAGACCUCUGACCAUCUUUGUGGCCUCCUCUGGACCUGCUGCAAUAGAUCCCUAUCUUUGCUGUCCUGAGGACCCCAGAGCUGGAUGUAGCACUGCAGCAGUGUUAAAGUCUUGCUGGUUUUUCAAUAUGGAAGACUAUUCAAAUGUCCUUAACACAACAGCACAAAGAGCACAAUCUUACAGGGAGCUGCAUGAUACAGAACCAAAGAAAAGGAGAGUGAAAAAGACCCCACAAGGUCAUAUAAUCCAAGAGUUUGCCCAAGGAAAGAGUCCAGGGAGCACUAAUAUCUGCUGAACUGCCUUGCCAAAACUUGG
This is a long non-coding RNA of Vidua macroura (Pin-tailed whydah), 735 nucleotides long. RefSeq lists it as uncharacterized. The transcript has 6 exons. NCBI's taxonomy places the organism in Eukaryota, Metazoa, Chordata, Aves, Passeriformes, Viduidae. The record is from RefSeq and is a predicted model, not a curated record.